GGAUAGCUCAGUCGGCUAGAGCGUGCUGCUGACAAUGCCAAGGUUGUAGGUUUGAUCCCUGAAAGGGACA
This 70-nucleotide transfer RNA is filed under the name Podarcis lilfordi (Lilford's wall lizard). RNAcentral describes it as "tRNA.Val". The record is from RNAcentral. Lineage: Eukaryota; Metazoa; Chordata; Lepidosauria; Squamata; Lacertidae.